GAAGGUAUAGCUCAGUGGUAGAGUGCAUGCCUAGCAUGCGUGAGGUCCUGGGUUCAAUCCUCAGUACCUCCA
This 72-nucleotide transfer RNA is filed under the name Camelus bactrianus (Bactrian camel). It matches the Rfam family "tRNA". Rfam says of the family: Transfer RNA (tRNA) molecules are approximately 80 nucleotides in length. The record is from Rfam by way of RNAcentral. RNAcentral also lists the same sequence under 1 other name. Lineage: Eukaryota; Metazoa; Chordata; Mammalia; Artiodactyla; Camelidae.